AGCUGGCAGUGCUGCAGUGGCGUCGUUCGGGGAGAGAGGCACGCAGCAGCCAGCUGUGGGAAGCUGGAGCCCAACCUGCACCCAGUGCUUGGCCAGGGAAGAGGAGGGCAGGAGCGGCACAGGUCUGCGUGUGCACGGAGGAGGAGGAGAAACGCAAGCUCUGGGACUCGUUGCGCAAGAAGUGCCAGAAGGCAAGGGCAAAAGUGGCAACCGCGAAGGCUUGGAAAGAAAAGCGAGAGCAAUGGGAGGUCCAGGUACUGGAGGCAAUGAAAAAUAAUUAGGAAAAGAGCAUUCUUCUCCUCCAGGGAGCCAAGGUGGGAAGGUCCCUAAGGCAUAGGUGCAUGGGGGCUGACUGUCCUGUGUGGGACUGUAUCAGCUCAAGGCACCUUCCCUAUUGCCCAGCGACAUCUCUUCUGCUCACCUCUCUGUCUGUGCAGGGUCCUGCAUUCAUGGCAUUCCCGAGCGGUGGGGAGACACCAGGAGAGGAUGAGGAGAGCCCAGAGGACAAGCUGAGUCUUUGCCUUUCAGAGUACUCAUCUCUGCAAAGUAACCAUGGGACAGUUGGUGGAAACACCCAGCAAUGCGUCGUACCCACUUACAGGUUGGUCUCACUGAACUAACCCAGCGCCAGCAGCUGGGUUUAGAAGCUCCAUUUCAUUUCUCACAUCACAAGAUGAGGAACAGGGAAGCAGGAAGAAACAUGUGAACUAAGUGGUUUCCAGCAAGGCACUGUCUCUAAAGCAGUUUUCAUAUAGUACACUUGUGAUCAGGAAAUUAGCCUCCAUGACAAAAGAGUUUGGUGGUUCUGCGUAAGAAGCAGCUAUUUGGCCAUAGGCAGAGCAGAAUCCAAACAGCCCUGGAGGUACCACGCUUUUAGUAUUACUGUAGGGAUGACCCAGAGCAGAGGUUCUCUCUCUCCGCUGUCCUUUC
This is a long non-coding RNA of Strigops habroptila (Kakapo), 930 nucleotides long. RefSeq lists it as uncharacterized. Lineage: Eukaryota; Metazoa; Chordata; Aves; Psittaciformes; Psittacidae. The transcript is spliced from 3 exons. The record is from RefSeq and is a predicted model, not a curated record.